UUACUUGUUGUUCCCUGUGUUACUUGCAUUACUUUCUUUUUGUUCCCUGUGUUACUUUACUUGUUCCCUGUGUUACUUGCAUUACUUUCUUUUGUUCCCUGUGUGUACUUUACUUGUUCCCUGUUACUUUACUUGCAGUACUUACUUUACUUGCAGUACUUACUUUACUUGUUCCCUGUGUUACUUUACUUGCAGUACUUACUUUACUUGUUCCCUGUGUUACUUUACUUGCAUUACUUUCUUUACUUGCAUUACUUUCUUUACUUGUUCCUUGUUACUUUACUUGCAUUACUUACUUUUCUUGUUCCCUGUGUUACUUUACUUGUUCCCUGUUACUUUACUUGUUCCCUGUUACUUUACUUGCAUUACUUUCUUUACUUGUUCCCUGUGUUACUUUACUUGCAUUACUUUCUUUACUUGUUCUGUUACUUUACUUGCAUUACUUUCUUUACUUGUUCCGUUACUUUACUUGCAUUACUUAUUCCCUGUUACUUUACUUGCAUUACUUUCUUUACUUGUUCCCUGUGUUACUUUUACUUGCAUUACUUUCUUUACUUGUUCCGUUACUUUACUUGUUCCCUGUGUUACUUGCAUUACUUUCUUUUUGUUCCCUGUGUUACUUUACUUGUUCCCUGUUACUUUACUUGCAUAGUUUUCUUUACUUGUUCCCUGUUACUUUACUUGUUCCCUGUUACUUUACUUGCAUUACUUUCUUUACUUGUUCCCUGUGUUACUUUACUUGCAUUACUUUCUUUACUUGUUCCCUGUGUUACUUUACUUGCAUUACUUUCUUUACUUGUUCCCUGUGUUACUUGCAUUACUUUCUUUUUUGUUCCCUGUGUUACUUUACUUGUUCCCUGUUACUUUACUUGCAGUACUUACUUUACUUGCAGUACUUACUUUACUUGUUCCCUGUGUUACUUUACUUGCAGUACUUACUUUACUUGUUCCCU
Long non-coding RNA from Ictalurus punctatus (channel catfish), 953 nucleotides. Lineage: Eukaryota; Metazoa; Chordata; Actinopteri; Siluriformes; Ictaluridae. The record is from Ensembl.